GGCGGGUAACGAGAAUCGAACUCGUAUCUUUUCCUUGGCAAGGAAACAUUCUACCACUGAACCAUACCCGC
RNAcentral lists this transfer RNA (71 nucleotides) under Chara vulgaris. Its description in RNAcentral is "tRNA-Gly". Lineage: Eukaryota; Viridiplantae; Streptophyta; Charophyceae; Charales; Characeae. The record is from RNAcentral.